This 254-nucleotide ribosomal RNA is filed under the name uncultured bacterium. Its description in RNAcentral is "partial 16S ribosomal RNA". It matches the Rfam family "Bacterial small subunit ribosomal RNA", at positions 524 to 776 of the family's 1533-position model. The record is from RNAcentral.
CACGUAGGGGCCAAGCGUUGUCCGGAUUCAUUGGGCGUAAAGAGCUCGUAGGCGGUUCAGUCAGUCGGGUGUGAAAUCUCCGGGCUCAACUCGGAGGGGCCACCCGAUACUGCUGUGACUCGAGUCCGGUAGGGGAGUGGGGAAUUCCUGGUGUAGCGGUGAAAUGCGCAGAUAUCAGGAGGAACACCGGUGGCGAAGGCGCCACUCUGGGCCGGUACUGACGCUGAGGAGCGAAAGCGAGGGGAGCAAACAGG